This 442-nucleotide ribosomal RNA is filed under the name uncultured bacterium. RNAcentral's name for it is "bacterial SSU rRNA". It matches the Rfam family "Bacterial small subunit ribosomal RNA", at positions 28 to 507 of the family's 1533-position model. The record is from RNAcentral.
GAUGAACGCUGGCGGUAUGCCUAACACAUGCAAGUCGUACGAGAGUUUUUAACUCUAGUGGCGGACGGGUGAGUAACACGUGAGAAUUUGCCUUUUAGGAGGGGGAUAACAAUUGGAAACGAAUGCUAAUACCCCAUAUGCUUUUGAGUGAAAUGGAUUUUAUCCGCCUAAAGAGAAGCUCGCGGCUGAUUAGCUUGUUGGUAAGGUAAGAGCUUACCAAGGCGACGAUCAGUAUCUGGUUUGAGAGGACGAUCAGACACACUGGAACUGAGACACGGUCCAGACUCCUACGGGAGGCAGCAGUGGGGAAUUUUCCGCAAUGGGCGAAAGCCUGACGGAGCAAUACCGCGUGAGGGAAGAAUGCCUAUGGGUUGUAAACCUUCUUUUUCAGGGAGGAAUAAAAUGACGUGUACCUGAAGAAUAAGCAUCGGCUAACUCCGUG